CUUGCUAGUGAAGAUUGACUCAGCUCCUAGUGUCAUCACUGUGGUUUAGCCACCAGGAGGGCCGAAUUGUGAAUGGAUUUGCUUGGGUAUUAUGUGUUGAAAGGCACUAUUAAGCAGAUCCUAGAAGAGGGACUCGCUGCUGCAGGAGCUGAGCCGUGACUGACGCCGGGUGCUUUGUGAGAGAGGAGUCACAGAAGGGAAACUGCCCUGCAGCUGCAGCUGGGAUAGGAGCGCAAGACGUGGGAGGAAGAGCCCCGCAGGCACCGAGGUCAAAGCGGCAGGAGGGCAGGAGGCACUCCGGGAGCACGGCACCAGCUCCAUGCAGCGCAGGAGAUGCGCACGGAGACGGGGGCUGACCCCACGCAGCCCGCGGGCACAGCUCGGAUCAGAGCUGUAUGAGGCCUCGGAGGGGCUGCGGUGAGGAGCUGCCUUGGGGCAGUGCUGGGCGAGCGGGUGGGAAGCCCGUUCGGGGGAAGGACCCCACAUGGAGUAGGGGCAGAGCAACCAUAAAGGAGUGGAAGAUGAAGAAAUACUACCGGCUGUCUGCAGAGUCCAUUCCCUGUUCCCGUGUACUGCUUAGGAGAGGAGUUAGAAGUAGCUGGAUGGAGGAAGGUGUUUUGUUUUUAGUUUCUUUUCUAAUCUGUUAGUAGCAGGCACUAAAUUAUAUUAAACUCUCUAUGCUGAGACUAUUUGGUCUGUGAUGGUAAUUGGAGAGCAAUCUCCCUGUCUUUAUCUAUCUCAACCCUUGAACACUUUUUCAUCAUGUCUUAUCUCCCUUUGAGUUGAGGAGGGGGAGUGAGAGGGCAGUGAGGUAGAAUUCAACCUGCCACCAGUGUGAAACCACCACCCUAGGCUGAAGUGUCAACCAAGUGUCAUUGAUGAAGAAAGGACAA
Molecule: non-coding RNA, 893 nt
Organism: Coturnix japonica (Japanese quail)
Lineage: Eukaryota; Metazoa; Chordata; Aves; Galliformes; Phasianidae
Source: RefSeq, a predicted model, not a curated record